This 627-nucleotide ribosomal RNA is filed under the name Resupinatus trichotis. RNAcentral describes it as "eukaryotic LSU rRNA". The stretch from base 259 to 412 matches the Rfam family "5.8S ribosomal RNA". The record is from RNAcentral. Lineage: Eukaryota; Fungi; Basidiomycota; Agaricomycetes; Agaricales; Resupinataceae.
CCUGCGGAAGGAUCAUUAUUGAAUUCAAAUGCAGACGCUGAGCUAUCUCGUCAAGAGCAUGUGCCCGCCGACGCAUAUAUUCAACCACCUGUGAACCUCUUGUAGAUCUGAGAAUAUUUCUCAAGGGAACUUGGACGUAGAGCUUGCUGGCUUCAUCAGAGGUCGACUGCUCUUGCUUCUCAGAUCUAUGUUUUUCAUAUACCCCGUAAUAUGUUAUAGAAUGUAUUGAACGGCUUGUAUGAGCCUUUAACCUUAUACAACUUUCAACAACGGAUCUCUUGGCUCUCGCAUCGAUGAAGAACGCAGCGAAAUGCGAUAAGUAAUGUGAAUUGCAGAAUUCAGUGAAUCAUCGAAUCUUUGAACGCACCUUGCACCCUUUGGUAUUCCGAAGGGUAUGCCUGUUUGAGUGUCAUUAAAUUCUCAACCUCUAUCAGCUUGCUGGUAAAGGCUUGGAUAUGGAGGAAUAUAUGCGGGCUUUUUCAAGUCGGCUCCUCUCAAAUGCAUUAGCAGAAUCAUUGUGCUAGCUUAGGUGUGAUAAUUAUCUACGCCUUGAUGCCUGCAUGUCUACGAUUCGGCUUCUAAUCGUCCGAAAGGACAGCAUAUACUUAUGACAUUGACCUCAAAUCA